Molecule: ribosomal RNA, 282 nt
Filed under: uncultured Sediminibacterium sp.
Lineage: Bacteria; Pseudomonadati; Bacteroidota; Chitinophagia; Chitinophagales; Chitinophagaceae
Description: partial 16S ribosomal RNA
Rfam family: Bacterial small subunit ribosomal RNA
Source: RNAcentral
UCAUGGCCUUAUGCCCUGGGCUACACACGUGCUACAAUGGAAGGACAAAGGGCUGCCACUUAGUGAUAAGGAGCCAAUCCCAAAAACCUUCUCUCAGUUCAGAUUGGAGUCUGCAACUCGACUCCAUGAAGCUGGAAUCGCUAGUAAUCGUAUAUCAGCAAUGAUACGGUGAAUACGUUCCCGGACCUUGCACACACCGCCCGUCAAGCCAUGGAAGCUGGGUGUACCUAAAGUCGGUAACCGUAAGGAGCCGCCUAGGGUAAAACUAGUGACUGGGGCACA